RNAcentral lists this long non-coding RNA (365 nucleotides) under Populus trichocarpa (black cottonwood). Its description in RNAcentral is "long non-coding RNA (PTRI_LNC000993)". Lineage: Eukaryota; Viridiplantae; Streptophyta; Magnoliopsida; Malpighiales; Salicaceae. The record is from RNAcentral.
GGAAAUCGAGCGCAUGGUUCGUGAGGCAGAGGAAUUUGCCGAGGAGGACAAGAAGGUGAAGGAGAGGAUUGAUGCUCGUAACAGUUUGGAGACCUAUGUAUAUAACAUGAAAAACCAGAUUAACGACAAAGAUAAGCUUGCUGACAAGCUCGAGUCUGAUGAGAAGGAGAAAAUAGAAACUGCUACCAAGGACGCCCUUGAAUGGCUGGACGACAACCAGAAUGCCGAGAAAGAGGACUAUGAAGAGAAGCUCAAGGAGGUGGAAGCUGUUUGCAACCCAAUCAUCACUGCCGUGUACCAGAGAUCUGCUGGAGCCCCAGGUGGUGGAUCAGCAGAAGAUUCCGAGGACGACUCUCAAGAUGAAC